AAUUGAGAUUCACUGACGCCAUCCCUGAACAUGAUGAUCUGAUCAGGUUUCCUUUUCCCUGAACUACUAUAGAAGUCCAACAGAAGCUCCCUAAUCAUCCCUUGAUCUUGAUUGUCAGAUACUCGUUUAAAAAGGGAGUCAAUCAUCUCAACCUUUGGAGAUUGUGUGCGAACAGAUGCCCUAUAUCGAGAAAUCAGAGGCCACUGCCUGGAACUGACCACCGCAGCAAUUGAUGGGACAUCAGAAUGCCCAGGCGAGCCAUGUGACACAUCCAUCCCAAGGAUAAUCGUAGGAACCUUGGAAACAACUGGAAUAGAAGGUGUAUGCUCCACUGCUAACAAAGAAUUUAACCCACCAAGCUUUGCAUUGAUCUUCAACAGAAGAUUAGUCAGAUACUGGUCAUUGACCCUCUGUGGAGCCAAGCACUGAGUGAAAAUUCCAAAGUCGGCAAGAUUUUUCUUCUUCCAAGGACCAUA
This 476-nucleotide unclassified non-coding RNA is filed under the name Hevea brasiliensis (rubber tree). Lineage: Eukaryota; Viridiplantae; Streptophyta; Magnoliopsida; Malpighiales; Euphorbiaceae. The record is from RNAcentral.